AUACUCUGGUUUCUCUUCAAAUCGCAUAAAUCUUUCGCCUUUUACUAAAGAUUUCCGUGGAGAGGAACAAGUGUGAGUCUGAACCCAAUUUUUUGAGGCCUUGCUGUUUCAGCACGGCU
Molecule: small nuclear RNA, 119 nt
Organism: Pongo abelii (Sumatran orangutan)
Lineage: Eukaryota; Metazoa; Chordata; Mammalia; Primates; Hominidae
Gene: U5
Rfam family: U5 spliceosomal RNA
About the family: U5 RNA is a component of both types of known spliceosome. The precise function of this molecule is unknown, though it is known that the 5' loop is required for splice site selection and p220 binding, and that both the 3' stem-loop and the Sm site are important for Sm protein binding and cap methylation.
Source: Ensembl